GAUGAACGCUGGCGGCGUGCCUAAUACAUGCAAGUCGAGCGAACAGACGAGGAGCUUGCUCCUCUGACGUUAGCGGCGGACGGGUGAGUCACACGUGGAUAACCUACCUAUAAGACUGGGAUAACUUCGGGAAACCGGAGCUAAUACGGGAUAAUAUAUUGAACCGCAUGGUUCAAUAGUGAAAGACGGUUUUGCUGUCACUUAUAGAUGCAUCUACGCCGCUUUAGAUGGUUGGUAAGGUAACGGCUUGCCAAGGCAACGAUGCGUAGGCGACCUGAGAGGGUGAUAGGCCACACUGGAGCGGAGACGCGGUCCAGACUACUACGAGAGGCAGCAGUAGGGAAUCUUCCGCAAUGGGCGAAAGCCUGACGCAGCAACGCCGCGUGAGUGAUGAAGGUCUUCGGAUCGUAAAACUCUGUUAUUAGGGAAGAACAAAUGUGUAAGUAACUAUGCACGUCUUGACGGUACCUAAUCAGAAAGCCACGGCUAACUACGUG
Molecule: ribosomal RNA, 497 nt
Filed under: uncultured bacterium
Lineage: Bacteria
Description: partial 16S ribosomal RNA
Rfam family: Bacterial small subunit ribosomal RNA
Source: RNAcentral